UGACGCGAAAGUACAAGCCUGUGGGGUCGCUUCUGCAACUGGAUAACUAGCACUGAAAAUCGUCUUUACAUCGGAUGGUUCGGUGUUUUGAAUCAUUUAUUUGGUACCGCUCAAGGAGCGGGAACUGCCAUUCUAACUCUUCUUGGGGGAUUCCAUCCACAAACGCGCGAGACAACUCUCUCUAAGGAACUCGGCAAAAUAGCCCCGUAACUUCGGGAGAAGGGGUGCCCCCUCUCUUUAGCAAAGAAUGACCUUGGUUAUCAAUGGAUUGAACAACCGGGAUCCAUUUACUUAUGAUACCUAGUUGGCAUUGAUAACAAGGAUCUAAUGAAUUAUGAGUUUAAUAGAUCCUACCGGCACGAAAGGCGUAACGAUCUGGGCACUGUCUCGGAGAGAGGCUCGGUGAAAUAGACAUGUCUGUGAAGAUGCGGACUACCUGCACCUGGACAGAAAGACGCAUAAGAACCUGCCCUUGGGAGGGGAACAACAACUGGAAACGGUUGCUAAUACCCCGUAGGCUGAGGAGCAAAAGGAGAAAUCCGCCCAAGGAGGGGCUCGCGUCUGA
Molecule: non-coding RNA, 565 nt
Filed under: Triticum aestivum (bread wheat)
Lineage: Eukaryota; Viridiplantae; Streptophyta; Magnoliopsida; Poales; Poaceae
Description: Bacterial large subunit ribosomal RNA
Rfam family: Bacterial large subunit ribosomal RNA
Source: Rfam by way of RNAcentral